Molecule: ribosomal RNA, 253 nt
Filed under: uncultured bacterium
Lineage: Bacteria
Description: partial 16S ribosomal RNA
Rfam family: Bacterial small subunit ribosomal RNA
Source: RNAcentral
UACGGAGGGGGUUAGCGUUGUUCGGAAUGACUGGGCGUAAAGCGUGCGCAGGCGGUUUUUCAAGACAGAUGUGAAAUCCCCGGGCUUAACCUGGGAAUGGCAUUUGUGACUGGAAGGCUAGAGUGUGUCAGAGGGGGGUAGAAUUCCACGUGUAGCAGUGAAAUGCGUAGAGAUGUGGAGGAACACCGAUGGCGAAGGCAGCCCCCUGGGUCAAGAUUGACGCUCAUGCACGAAAGCGUGGGGAGCAAACAGG